Molecule: ribosomal RNA, 548 nt
Filed under: uncultured bacterium
Lineage: Bacteria
Description: bacterial SSU rRNA
Rfam family: Bacterial small subunit ribosomal RNA
Source: RNAcentral
UGGGGAAUUUUGGACAAUGGGCGCAAGCCUGAUCCAGCCAUGCCGCGUGCGGGAAGAAGGCCUUCGGGUUGUAAACCGCUUUUGUCAGGGAAGAAAUCUUCUGGGUUAAUACCUCGGGAGGAUGACGGUACCUGAAGAAUAAGCACCGGCUAACUACGUGCCAGCAGCCGCGGUAAUACGUAGGGUGCAAGCGUUAAUCGGAAUUACUGGGCGUAAAGCGUGCGCAGGCGGUUAUGCAAGACAGAUGUGAAAUCCCCGGGCUCAACCUGGGAACUGCAUUUGUGACUGCAUAGCUAGAGUGCGGCAGAGGGGGAUGGAAUUCCGCGUGUAGCAGUGAAAUGCGUAGAUAUGCGGAGGAACACCGAUGGCGAAGGCAAUCCCCUGGGCCUGCACUGACGCUCAUGCACGAAAGCGUGGGGAGCAAACAGGAUUAGAUACCCUGGUAGUCCACGCCCUAAACGAUGUCAACUGGUUGUUGGGAAGGUUCCUUCUCAGUAACGUAGCUAACGCGUGAAGUUGACCGCCUGGGGAGUACGGCCGCAAGGUUG